This 85-nucleotide non-coding RNA is filed under the name Entomomonas moraniae. Lineage: Bacteria; Pseudomonadati; Pseudomonadota; Gammaproteobacteria; Pseudomonadales; Pseudomonadaceae. The record is from RNAcentral.
UAUGGCGGGCUGUGUACGGGACACCUACGGGUGUGCCGAUUUCCGAAGGUAUCGGUCUGCCAACCUGUGCACAGUUCCGCCUCCC